UCAGGAGUGACCCAUAAAAGCUACAUAAGAGCGUGGGAUCUUGACCGGUGGGUAGCACUUUUACAAGUAUGGAUGUCGUUGUCUUUUUUGCAACUGCGCUGCUUCUGUUUUCUGGCAGCCAAGAAGCUAACAGUAAGGCAGCACCGGAUGGCCAAGAUCCAUUAUGUACAUCCCAAAAUAACGGCCUCUUACGAUACAUCGCGGGCUCAGUAUUAAGUCUAUGCAGUGAUGGGAACUGGCAAGCAGUCUUUUCACCAGGAAACCUCCUCGCUCAUUGGAAGAUGGACGAACAAUUAGGCAAUACAGUCGAUGAUGACUCGGGUAAUGAGAAUCAUGGCACUGCAGAACGCGCGUCCCCGACCAGGGCUAAAUUCACCCGAGGACGGUACUUUGACAAUGGCGGCGGUACUAUCACGAUCCCGCAUAGUAUUGGACUUGACUUGACCCACAUUUUCAGUAUUGCUUGCUGGUACAAAGUGACAGACAGCCCUUGGGUCGCAGUGUCGUAUCCGGACAAGACGUUCUUUGUGCGCAAAGGUACCGCUUUUCCGCAUGGGAGUCAACAGAUAAGACCACGCCCAGGCUUUGAGUUUGCCCUCGGUUACAAAUCACUAGGGACUCGAAUUUCUGUAAGCGAUGGUUAUCACAUGGUAUCAUCUAUUCUCGAGCACGACAGCGCUUUUCUGCCCGCACGGCUAAUUGGCAGGUGGGCGCACUACGUAUUGACGCUCGAUCGGCGAGUUGGGGUGAUAACUAUGUACAUAAACGGCCGGAAGCAGACAAACACCGUGAAUAUCCGUAGCCUUACGGGUAGUAUUGGUAACGACAUGCCCUUAGUUAUCGCCUUUCAGUAUAGUCGGAUAACAAGGGGUUAUCUGGAUGAUUGUAGGGUCUACAAGCAUGCAUUGAGUUCGGCUGAGGCAAAAUUACUCUAUCAAAAUCAUAGGUUGUGACACGCCCUAAACCUUUAGCAGUGGAGUAACCAGGAUUUUUAACAGGAGGGGGCCCAAAAGGGACUUUCAAGGCAUUUUCUCCUGUAUUUUAGAUGUCUUAUACAUUAACUGUUUUUUUUUUUUUUGGCUGCUUAACUCAGUGCCUCUAAGGCACGGCUGAAUUUUUCAGUUUUACCCCCAGCAUUGAUUUUGGCCGCGGGGGCCUAGGUACCAUGUAUCCUUGACAACACAACAGAGGCGCUGAGGUGACGCUCUUACUUCAGAUAUGGCGAAUUUUGUGAGCGAAUUUCGUAGUUUUAGAGUGCAUAACAAAGGAAAUUGGCCGAAAUAUCAUGGAAUAAAUGGUCUGCAAGUAGUUUCUUUCGGAAUGUCUAUUGCGGGGAAAAGUGUUUGCUGGCUCAAACGACAAUGCUCUACGCCCACGCUCCCAUCCUCUAAUGGACUGUCCACUUCCAUAACAUCUAAUAAUUAAUUGUUUUGUGUUGCAAGUUUAUCCCUGGAACAGAUGACAGGGCACUGGCAAGUGAACACUGGUACUGUUCUUGGAAACUUUCCUCAUAUUGCUCAAAGAGAGCUCUUGCAACAUUUGUAGCAUCACGUUUUCGUGCUUUUACAGUAGGGGUUGCAUUUCGCAGACGCUGAGCCUCGUUGUUAGCGGCAAAUAUAAUAUUUUGCUUUGCUUUCCCCUUGAAGAAAUUUGAGGUGACUGGGAAGUAUGACAUAACCUCUGUGUAUCUGAUUGCACAGGCUUUACAGUUCUGAAAUGAAUGUUCCUUUCUUCUAUUUUCAGAUAAACCUUGCCAUUUCUCUCUAGAGAAAGUCUCCAUAAACUUUGAUUUUUCCUCAGCUUUUCUGGUGUUCCAUUUGUUCAUGGCAUUCCUCAAACCAGGCAGCUUUCUAUGGAAUUUAAGGAACUCGAUAUCAAAAGCAUCCCCUGUUACUUGUGGUGGGAAAUAGCUCCUGUACUUUCUGUACUGCUCCCCCUUUACUCUCGCAUUGUACUUUGUAGUGCUUUCACCACUUUCUCUCGGUAAUGCCUUUUCGACCUCCCUGGCCACCUGCAAUGCUAUAACCUUCCCAAAUCCACACGUUUGUGAACAUAGAAAGACCCCUGCCAUCUCAGGGUGACUUUUUUUUUAUAAAAUUCAACAACUAGAAGACAAAAUUUUCGUAAAACUCGCUGGGGAAAAAAACUUUGCACUUUUCAAUUCCAUAACUACACCAACUGCGCCCACUGUUUGAAAAUCCCGCCUAAAAUACACAAAAGGACAUGCGCAAUAAUGUGCUUUGUAAUCAGAGUCUUUUUAUUUACUGUAAGAUUCAAGAUUCCAUUUAUUUCCCUACCAUAAUCAUGCUGUUUACUUUAAUCGUUCUAAAUUCAGUACGUCUUUCCGUUCAUUUUAGACGAUCGUUUAACUAUAUUUAAACAGUUCUGCAUGGGAUACAUCUCUUGUUGUCCCUUUGUCGUUUAACUAAGAAAUCUCUUGCAAUUUUCGUCAUUUUCUUCAUGUAUUCAAUCAAUCUACUGCAACAAUGUGUAUUCCCUUCACAGGCCAUCCGCCAUCUUGCUUUCAUUGUAUCUAUGGAAACUGACAACCGCUGAUCACUUUUUAGCUGAGCCUGCUUCGAUCUUUCCAAAGAAAGAGCGUCAGCUUUUAUCGCUUUUGAAAAACACCUUAGCUAUUAGGAAACUGCAACUCUCAAUCAUGUUUUAGAAGUUUAAUCCCUAAAUGAUUCAAAUCCAAGGUGUAAGUUUGGAAAAAUAGUUUUAUUGCCUGUAAUAAUGCAGUGUAUUGUGACACAUCGUUCUGAAUUCUACAAUUAUCGAUCAAAGCCCUCAAUUUACUUCGUCAACAGCUUUGGAAUACAAAUUUCCAGCUUACAUUUGUAUACUCUGGUUAUCCCUCCUUCAUUUAGCAUUGGAAUUUUGGAGUUUUAAUUACGUCCUGUGUGUCUGCAGGGCGCCAGAAAAAAGGAUGUUUUUUCACAAGCUUGUAACACCUUAAUUAUGUCACGUGAAGGUUUCCAUGGCAACUGAGUAGUCGGUAACAUCGAGCAUGUUAUGCAGAAAAACUACGCCAACUUUCAGGCUGAUUGGUUAAAAAAUGCGUUGUCAAGAAUUUUUUAACUGAGUCCGUCCGGUUUUUACGAGUUCAGCCUUGCCUUAAAUGCACUGAGAAAGGCGGGACAGGGCCCCUAGGCCACCCCCUGGCUAUGCCCCUGUUUAGUCUGCACAAAGACAAAGCAAGGGGAGGGAUCGAUGGGUCUGAAACGCCUUAGCCCUUUAGGUUGUACCUAAAUAAAGCAUAUUUUCUCUUAAAAUUUUGGUACACAUAAGAAGGCAAAUUGCCUAAAUUGCUAUUAAUGAUCCCCUCCCCCCAUCUUCAUCUUUGAGUCACCAAGAAAUCUUAGGCUCUUUUACAGGUUUGCUAAGAUUCUCAAGUUUGUAGGCCUGGUCAUUUGUGAUGGGGGAAAGGGAAAAGAACACAAAUGUUCUUCCUCCAAGUCUAAAAUAAAACUUAAUAGGGGGCUAUGAUAAUGACUAUGAUUUGUAAAGAUGAUCUUUGUAUGUCUUUAAUCUUUUGUUUCUUGCAGUUUCUACUUUGAAAUAAAAGUGCACAUAGCACUA
Molecule: RNA transcript, 3582 nt
Organism: Nematostella vectensis (starlet sea anemone)
Lineage: Eukaryota; Metazoa; Cnidaria; Anthozoa; Actiniaria; Edwardsiidae
Exons: 4
Source: RefSeq, a predicted model, not a curated record